CAAGCCUGGAAACGGGGUCUAAUACCGGAUGGGACUGCCGGCCGCAUGGUCUGGUGGUGGAAAGCGUUUAGUGGUGCAGGAUGAGCCCGCGGCCUAUCAGCUUGUUGGUGGGGUGAGUGCCUACCAAGGCGACGACGGGUAGCCGGCCUGAGAGGGCGACCGGCCACACUGGGACUGAGACACGGCCCAGACUCCUACGGGAGGCAGCAGUGGGGAAUAUUGCACAAUGGGCGGAAGCCUGAUGCAGCGACGCCGCGUGAGGGAUGACGGCCUUCGGGUUGUAAACCUCUUUCAGCAGGGAAGAAGCCGCAAGUGACGGUACCUGCAGAAGAAGCACCGGCUAACUACGUGCCAGCAGCCGCGGUAAUACGUAGGGUGCGAGCGUUGUCCGGAAUUAUUGGGCGUAAAGAGCUCGUAGGCGGCGUGUCACGUCGGAUGUGAAAGCCCGGGGCUUAACUCCGGGUUUGCAUUCGAUACGGGCAGGCUAGAGUUCGGUAGGGGAGAUCGGAAUUCCUGGU
This 518-nucleotide ribosomal RNA is filed under the name uncultured Streptomyces sp. RNAcentral describes it as "bacterial SSU rRNA". It matches the Rfam family "Bacterial small subunit ribosomal RNA", at positions 145 to 674 of the family's 1533-position model. The record is from RNAcentral. Lineage: Bacteria; Bacillati; Actinomycetota; Actinomycetes; Kitasatosporales; Streptomycetaceae.